AGCAGCCGCGGUAAUACGGAGGGUGCGAGCGUUAAUCGGAAUUACUGGGCGUAAAGCGCAUGCAGGCGGCCUGUUAAGUCAGAUGUGAAAGCCCGGGGCGUUAACCUCGGAAAUUGCAUUUGAAACUGGCAGGCUAGAGUCUUGUAGAGGGGGGUAGGAAGUUUCAGGUGUAGCGGUGAAAUGCGUAGAGAUCUGAAGGAAUACCAGUGGCGAAGGCGGCCCCCUCGGACAAAGACUGACGCUCAGAUGCGAAAGCGUGGGGAGCAAACAGGAUUAGAUACCCUGGUAG
This 289-nucleotide ribosomal RNA is filed under the name uncultured bacterium. RNAcentral describes it as "partial 16S ribosomal RNA". It matches the Rfam family "Bacterial small subunit ribosomal RNA", at positions 510 to 793 of the family's 1533-position model. The record is from RNAcentral.